UGAAUUUAGUGACAUUGAUAC
This 21-nucleotide non-coding RNA is filed under the name Caenorhabditis elegans. The record is from RNAcentral. Lineage: Eukaryota; Metazoa; Nematoda; Chromadorea; Rhabditida; Rhabditidae.